This is a non-coding RNA of Tetranychus urticae (two-spotted spider mite), 1898 nucleotides long. The record is from RefSeq and is a predicted model, not a curated record. NCBI's taxonomy places the organism in Eukaryota, Metazoa, Arthropoda, Arachnida, Trombidiformes, Tetranychidae.
UACUAGGUACAUAGUAGAGUCUACAAGCACAAUAAUCAAUGCAAAACUAGUUUUUGCUAUAAGUUUAUUUACAAUGUUGAUAAAUGAACUUCCAGAUGAUGGUUUGCAUGCCAUUUUGAAUGACUUAGAUGAUUUAAUACUGCUAUGAAGGUAAUUAUCAAUCAUGUUUUUUUGUAUCAUAAAAAUCAUAUACAGUUAAGCCUCGCAAACGUUGUAUGAAAUUUAGAAACGCCAUCUUUGGGAUUCAAGAUUUUGCUCGCCUUUACAAUUAGAUUAUGUUAAUAAUUUAAAAGAGUUGCAUAAACAUUAUCGCUCACGGCGGCGAGAUCGCACACUACCUUUUAGAGUACAAACUUUGCAAUGUUUUACUGUAUUUUCAUUCAAAUUCUCCAUCUCUUCAGCGAUAAUCACAAUUUUUCAAGUCAACAUAGUCGACUGUUUGCUGUACUAGCUGAAGUGACCGGAGAAAGUCAUAUUAGUCAAAUAGCUCCUGACUUUGAGUUACCGAAGCCAGUGAAAAUCAAGCUAGCUAGAUGCGCACAGGACUAGCUUAAAGUCAGCCCUAAGAUUAGCUCAGCUAAUUUAGCUGCUUAGCCAGAGUUUGGUCUUUAAUUUAAAUGAUUUUUGUGCAAAACAAAACGGGAUUUGACUUGUCGUUUGCGCAUAAAUCAUUAUUAUAUAUUUCAAUAUUAGCAAGCUAGCUUAGCUUUCAGUCAGUUGUAAGCCAAUUUUUACAGUUUUUAGCCGGACCAGGUUAGCUUCAGUAUCUACUCUGAGUAUUAUUAUAUCAUAAAGUUUUAUCUGAAUGAAACAUUUUUUUGUUAUCCUUUAUGUUAUCAUCUGACUGUUGAGGCGCAGUAUUUGAAUAUUUUAUUGUGUUGGCUCUGUAUCAAUUGAAUAAUUGAGCAAAUCAACACUAAAUUUUAGUCAGCCAAUAAAACUUUCAUUUCAGUCUGUAUCAAAUGGAAUCAAUUAAUUGCUGAGCGAACCAAAAAAUUUAAAUACUUUAUUGACUAUCCUGGCUAUUCAUCUGAUUGUGUUUAUUAGCAAAAAAAGACUUUAUUGAUGUAACCUGUCUGAGCAAAUUAUUUCAAAUUUAAUGGUAAGGGACCCUCCUGGUACGAUUUGAUUUGGGAAAUUUCAUGAUGAAUCGAUGGAAAUAAGACAAAAAAGAUGUUUGGUAAAGUGUUAGGACCUAAAUCAGUGAUUUUUGCAAGGAUUAAUCAAUUCAUCUAACAAACGAACAGACAAAUAUUGUGAUAAACUCAAAAUGAUAUCCUCCGGUCGUAUUGAGCCAAGCAUUCCACGAAAUCAUUGCAGCUUAAAACAAUUUCACACUUUCAAUUAUUAUCAACAUUUCAAAAGAGAUACUUUUAAAAGAGAAAUGUUUCCUUAUGAAAAUCUAUCGUUCAUACUCAGGUGGUUACUACGCUGGUCCAGUAUUGGAAAAGCUUAAAAUACUUGAACUGUGUUUAUUAUACCCUCAUGGUGUUUGUUAUGCUUUCCAGUUAAUGGAUUCAUGCCCAAAUUUACAAAGUGCACAUAUUUUCACGCCUACUAAUCGCUUUUUUGUUGAUGAAACAUUGAAACAUGAAUGUUUGCAAGAUUUAGUUAUGUCUUAUGGUGGUCCUUCCUGUCUGGACUGGAAUGAUUUAAAAAGAUCUUUUAUGAAAUAUCCGAACAUCAAACAUCUUUCGCUGAGGAACGUGCGCUACAUAAAAGAUGAACAUAACGAGUAAUUGGUUCAAAUUUUAGCCAAUGCAGUAAUACAAAUGUCAAUAUAAAUUUAAUGCUUUCAAUCGCUAACUAUUAGUACUCUCUCAAAGUUUGUCAAAAAUCAAAUGUAUAUCACCAAUAUCUACUGAGUUAUUAAAGAUUGAAAAUUAUUUCCAUUUUUA